AACGCAUAUUGCACCCGACAGGCUCGCUUGUCGGGUCUGCCUGUCUGAGUAUCAGUACGGACCCAAUCAACAAUGAAAGGUUAUUAAUUUAGCUGGACAAUGUUGUGUUGGUGCUCACUAGAGGUGCCUUUGUGCCUCUGGUGGAUUUGAGUGUUCAGUCAUCAUUUUUUGGCUGAUCACUUGAAAUGUAUUGGUGUCGUCUAGCUGACAGUCGCCGCGUAAGCAUUGUUAAUCAUCUUUAUUGAUGUUCCUUGCUAUUACAUGGACCAACGACAAUAAGCACUAUUAGCACGAUCCAAGCACAAACUCCAAAUACUUGUAUUUAACCAUCUUGAUCUCAGAUCAGGCAGGAUGACCCGCUGAACUUAA
RNAcentral lists this unclassified non-coding RNA (369 nucleotides) under uncultured Piptocephalidaceae. RNAcentral describes it as "sequence contains ITS2". Lineage: Eukaryota; Fungi; Zoopagomycota; Zoopagomycetes; Zoopagales; Piptocephalidaceae. The record is from RNAcentral.